ACAAAACAAAUUCGUCGUUAAAGUUCAAUUAUUUUAUGCACCGAUAGUUGAAUUUAGAAGUGGAUUCCAACCCUUUUUCUGUACAAGAAAAAACAUUUAGAAAAAAAGUCUUCAAUUUUUUGGUUUUUUUUAUUUUUAAUACGCCAUAUUUUUUUCUGAGGCACGGAGGCUCAAUUUUGACCUCGGAAUUCGAAAGAGCACACCCAAAAAUAGUAAGAAUCAUUGUUUUGGUAAAAAUAUGCUUCGUGAUUCUUUCCGAGAAUGAGGCUGGAAAAUGAGCAAAGAAUUCGAGCUUGUUGGGUGUUAAUGGGUUAAUCGAAUGCGAAUAUGAAGGUGUUCUUUUUUAAAGUCGGGUACUAGGUUCACAUAGCUUACAUACAGUACACUGUAUUUCACAACCUAAAUUAUUGUAAAUUCUUAUAUAAAAUACUUCACAUUACAUCAAUUUUUGUUUUAAUUAUAUUGGCAGAUUAACGUCGUCUUACAUGGCAGUAAUCUUUUUUCAUGCUUGGAUCUUGCCACGUCUUGGUUCAGGACCUUUUUGGAAGCAUAAACUCGAACAAGAAAGCAUACGAUGUGUUACUAAUUGGUGGACGAAUCUGUUAUACAUCAAUAAUUAAGUAAAGUCGUCAGAAAUUGUAAGGAAUGUGUGUUUAAAUUAGUUAAUGUAUUAUUAUAUGCGAAAUAAUUGUUAAAGUUAUUUAUACACGUAUAUCUUAAUUGUAUUCAUCUAUUUUAGUGUAUGUUUCAAUCAUAUUAUUUAUCUGCCAAUUUUCAAUUUUUCAUUCUUAAUCAAUUUAUAAUUUAUGCAUUCUGGCGCAUGUUGCGUAAAAUCGGAUAUUUCUUCCUCGGAACACUAACGUUUGCUAGUUGCUUGAUACCAUUUAUUGCAGCAUAUUCUUAUGGCGCAAUACCUGUUUUGGCAAUAUUUACAGUAAGUUAUUUUGUUAUAUUUGUUACUUACACGUUAUGUUAUGCAGUGUUUUAAUAUGAAACAUAUUUCUUUUUACACGUUUUACACGUUUUAGAGACAGAACGUUUGUUACAUCUGUAUCAGCAAAUGCUAAGUUCUAUAAUCUAUAAUUAUUUUCUGCAAAAUUCUGAGUCACUUUAACUUUUUCAGGGCGCAUAAACUAGAAGAUGUACUUUAUUACAUAAAUUAUUACAUAAAAACACAUAUGUGUGCACCUGCAAAUCUCAUUGGUGUAAUCGCUGGUGCAAUACUUUAUGAUCAUGGAAGAAUAAAAUGGCGACUGUCGAAAUUCUGGUCACAUAUACUAGUGGUACCGUUGCCGGUGAUUGUAAUCGUUGUUUUUCACAUUAAUACCUGCGUUGUGGACCUGCACAAUGAUAGUUGUACUAUCUACUGGUAGCCAAUUAGAAUUUUACCAUAAUAUUUUUACUCCUCGCUGGGUUCAACCAUUGGCAGUAUUGACUUACGGAGUCUAUCUCAUCGCUGAUAUAUUCCACGCUUUUCACAUUGGACGAGCCAGAAGCGCCAAAAUGUUUUCCUGUUUUAAUGUAAUAUGGGAAAGUAUAUCGACUGUGAUUACAUCCUUUGUGGUCUCUUUAUUCAUCGCGAUAUGCAUCAAGAUGCCAUUUAGACAACUGGUAAAACAAUUCUACUCUUCGAAGAAGUAAUAAUACUGAUAAAAGGUAGUAAUAAUAAAUAAGAUUAAAAAAAUAAAAAUUGCUCAUUCUUGUUGUUUAUAUUUGAUUGCCAGAAUCCAUCUGUAUUGUUAUAAUGGAACAGUAUAAGAAGGGAAAGAAAGCAAAAAUGUCUACAAAUUUUUGCGGAGUGGCAGCAUAAUAAUGUAUUUGAACUACGUUAUUUACAGGAACCCACAAAAAUAUUUUUUGAGUUUGAUGAACUUGAAAAAUGGUGUAAUGUAGAUCAAAGUAAUGGAAACGUAAUUUUUUAAGUGUUCAUUCGCAUGGUGGUUAGAAGAUAAAAUACCACUUUGACAAAAAUCAUUUCUUGUUUUUCAGUCUGAAAUAAAUGAUUUAUGCAAUAA
RNAcentral lists this unclassified non-coding RNA (2015 nucleotides) under Ooceraea biroi (clonal raider ant). RNAcentral's name for it is "uncharacterized LOC105275075, transcript variant X3". The record is from RNAcentral. Lineage: Eukaryota; Metazoa; Arthropoda; Insecta; Hymenoptera; Formicidae.